This 5287-nucleotide ribosomal RNA is filed under the name Triticum aestivum (bread wheat). RNAcentral's name for it is "partial small subunit ribosomal RNA". The record is from RNAcentral. Lineage: Eukaryota; Viridiplantae; Streptophyta; Magnoliopsida; Poales; Poaceae.
CUCCCUCGGUCUCGCCUCUCCUAUGGUUCGCCGCCCGCCGCCGUACCCCGCCGCCCUGCUCCGCUGUUGCCCCUCCCUCCGCCUGCCUCGCCCCUGCUCUAGGGUUCGCCGCCCGCCGCCGCCCCCCGCCGCCCUGCUCCGCUGUUGCCCCUCCCUCCGCCUGCCUCGCCCCCCUCCCCUACACUCACCCCUGCCCGAUCUGGAUCUGGAUGAGGCGUUGCCUCCCGUUCCUCUCAUCGCGUCCCUUGUGCCAGCCAUGGGAGAGGGGAGGAAGAAGGGGAGGGAGAGCAAGGAGGAGGAGGAGGAGGAAGAAGAAGAACCUUCUCUGUAGAAUCAGCAGAUCGAUCUCGUCGAUGCUGCAGGGCCUGGCCCGUUCCAUGUCUCUGGGAAAGGAGAGGAAGGUGGAGGAGGAGCACCAGGGGACGGUGCUGCGAUCGUCGGGGACGCUCUGGGGCGAGGGCUCCGAGACGUUCGCCGCCGCGUGCUGGACGUACAAGCACGAGCACCACCGCUGGCCGUUUCCUCCAUACUGACAGAUCGCCGUGUCGCUAUCCUUGUAUGUUGUAGCCAGGAGGAGAGGUAGGCGCGGUGCCGCUCAUGGCCGUGGCGUCGUGCUUGUGGUCGUGGUGAAUUGGAGAGAACGGCCUCCUAUCCAUGCACGUCCAUCUACUGCGGGCCUUCCCUCUUCCAGCAACAUCAUGUCUCAGUUUGCCACCGCCAUUCAUCCGGAUGGCCCUGGACAUACAUACCAGCACCACACCCUUCCUCCUGUUGCUGGGGUAAGGAUGGCAGUUUUACCCACAGGUACGGGUACCCGCGUGGGCAGGGUAUGGGCACAAUUUUAUACCCAUGGGUAAUACCCAUACCCUGCCCGUUAAGUCAUGGGUAGGGUACGGGUAUAACCUUGUACCCGCGGGUAUACCCAUACCCUGCCCGCUUGUAAACUAAUGUUAAGUUGUCAUCAAUUAAUCAUUAAUUUGUCAUGUGGCUUGUCUACUCCUAUUGAUUUAUGAGUAUGUUGUACUCAUCUACCAGUUAUUGAGUUGAGAUAAUUGUUUUUUGUCAAAUGUGCUACCAAUGAGCGUAAAAAUGUGAACAACUCAUGUACUAUUUGUUCUACCCGCUGGUACUCAAUGGGUACGGGUACCCGUCGGGUAUGGGUAUGGGUAAAGUUUCAUACCCAUGGGUAUGGGUAUGGGUAGAAUUUUGUACCCACCGACUAUACGGGUAUGGGUAUGGUAUUGCUCUACCCUGCCCAUACCCUACCCAUUGCCAUCCUUAUGCUGGGGACGUAGCUAUCAUCCACGCACCAGUGACUCACAUACGUUGCUAGCUGUGUGCAGGGUAUCAUUAAGUUCACAUGUAUUUAUCAGAUUGUGUAACUAGCUUUUGUUACUUGGUCCAUCCCUAGGAAGCAAUAAGAUUACUUCAGUAUGCAUAUACACGUUGCUAGCUACGUGCAGGGUAUCUCAAGUUCACAAAUAUUUAUGAGAUUGUUUUACUAGCUUUUGUUACUAUUUGGCCCUUCAGUAUGCAGAUUAAUCUCAACAUUCAUAAGAAUCUUCAAAAAAAAAAUGGAGAUGAAAAUACUUCAAGUAGUUCUGAGUGGAGAUCAUUUGAUAGCAUUUUGUUGUAGCAUCUACAGAAGACCUUUUCAUUUCAUUUUACCGAGAAACGCUGGAGGGUUCAUGUUUUCCUUAUCCAGGACAUUUUGAAGGUUCCUGAUGCAUUCUUACAAGAAGCAACAAUCCAGAGGUUAGUCAAUGUUUGUCGGGAUUUUUCAUUUCUAAAGGUACACUAGCGACUAUUGUACAUAUAACUAAUUGUUUGCUUGCUUUCUUAAUCACGUACAUCAAUAUAAUCCUCCAUGCUAAAAACACUCAUUCUAGAUUGCGUGAGCUUGUCAUACCAUUUUUUGUAAAGACAAAAAAAUAAUUUAUACUCCACAACUUGAUGCAUUGUUGUUGCAUCAACAUUUCCGGAAUUAGCAAGUCAAUUUUUUAGGUGUAUGUUUGCUAAAUUGAUGAACACAGUUGGUCUCUUUAAUCAGGAAAAAAAUAGCAUGAUUCUCUAAGCUACAUGAAUUACUCUUCAGCGGCAUUUCAUAUCAGUGGUGUGUUACUUGCUAUACUGCCUAUGUGUGUGUACUGAAGUUUUCUUCUUUUGAAUAUGUAGGUAAUUAGUGAAAUGAUAAGAGGGUCAAUUAAUGGUGUUCAAUUUUUCCUUCAAGCAAACAGUUUGUACCCAAAUACAAUACUAUUCAGUAUCAUCCUGAAACCAAUAUCUCAAAGAUUCAUUCUUUAUGAAUUCGAGCCUUGGCAAACCACUCCCAUUACAAGGUUCCAUAAACAUGCUGGAUUAGUAUGUCGAUAUUCGAAUUAAUUGGGCAAAAAAUAGAUAUAUUUACUAUGAUGUUUUUACAUAUUCAGGUGAAUAGCAUCCUGUUUUUACUUCAAAUAAUUAACAAAAAAUUAAAGACCGUGAUUAUGUUGUUUAUUAAAUUCCUCUUGCAUUAUCUUUGAUGAAAAGUAUAUUAUCUGUCAGCAACGAUAUGUUAAUAUGGGCAAAGGAAAGUCAAAAUAUGUUAUCUCAGGCCAAUAUUCUGAAAUUAGUGAAGCCCUAUAGUAUUUACUGGAUUGAUCACGACACUGCUCAUAUUUUUUGGUACUUUGAUAUCUGAAAUAUUUUUUUUAAUCAUGAGCUGAGGUGAUGAUGGGUUGCAGGCACACGCCCCGUCCUUCUCUUGUUCAAGGUUUGGCGGAAGCAUUAAGUUUGGAGAGGAAACUAACAUGAAUGACCAGUCGAUCUUUUUCUGACCUUUUUCUCCCUUUCUAAUUACUCCUCUCAUUUCCUCUGUUCUUCUCAGCCAUCUCCUUUUCUAUCGCCAUAUCGAUCUCUAAACUCACUUCAUCUUUUUUCUUCCAAUUCAUCCGAUUGUUGUGUUCCAAGCACACAUGUCAUAAAGCAUCACCUGCUGCUUGUUCGAACAUGUUUGAUGUACUUACAUAUUAACAUGUUUGAUGUACUUACACAUUAACAAAACUGAUCAGUAACAUUCAUGCCGAAUUAUUUGGGUUUCAUCCUCUGCUUUUUUACUGUUUAUUUAUUGAUGAAGAUAGCAGAUGUUCAUGUUUUUAAAUAUAGUUACAUGUGUUUGUCCAAAAAAAAUAUAGUUACAUGUGCUUCCAGUUGGUAGAGAUCAAAAAAUUAACUCACUGAUGCAAGGAAAAAGAGCUCUUUUAUAGACACUGCCAGCAGUGGAUACAUGGUGAGCCUUUCUGAAUGUGUUUUAUGAAAUAAGGCUAAUUUAAGGUCAUUUUUUUGUUGGAUAAAAAACAGACAAUUGGUUAUUGGGUUAUUCGUGUUUGUUCUCAAUUUCUCAUGUCGCUCUCUUCUCUGUCCAGGGAUACGGGUGCCAGGACGACACCACCUUCUGCGGCGUCUGCCUUCCUCUCCUCCAGCGGGAGAGGCCCCUGCCUUCCUCUCCUCCUGCGUGGUGGCAGAUGGCCGCAGUUAAUGGCGCUCCUGCGAGCGGGGGACACGAGUGCGGUGCAGACAGUGACCAGGUGUGAUGAGACAGCCGCCGGCCGCCUGUGGGCGGUUCUUUCAUGUGUUGUAGACCGUGCCAUUCUAUGACGAGGAUGUGUUCCAGGAAAUGGAAACAAAUGAAACUGGAUGCUCAUCAUGUAUUUCAUGAAGAAAUUUGCAUGUCUGGGGCAUGUCUCCGUAUAAAAGGCCGAUCUCUGCACAACAGUAGUUUCUUCAGGUUGUGGUGUCCGAUUUUUUUCAUCUCAUUUUGCCAUGCACUAGAUUACAUGGUUAAUACUGUCACUAUGCAAUAACUGGGAAGAUUACGGAGGGAAGGGACAAUAUGUAAGAUGGGGCAAGGAGGCUGGUGUAGAUCUUGCUUCUCCUGACGACUUCAUAUCUGAUGCAACACUUCAGAGCUACUACAAAAACUUUUUUUAGGAAGCUACUACAAAGCUUUUUUUUCGGAAGCUACUACAAAGCUUUUGUUCAGGAAAUAUGUCGAAGCACAGAAUAUAUUCCAUUUGCAGUGGACUAACAGAACAACACAACACAUAAAAAGAGGAGUAUAAGUGGAAACCUUUCUUUCUCUUUAAAUUCUUGAGGACGGUAACAUUAUGAUGAAGGUGGAACCAUAGAGAGAUGUGUAUUUUUAAUUAAGAUAUUUUCAGGAGUACCUUUGCAAAGUUGAUAUAUCUUUCUUUUACAAGAUAUGGUUGCACUUGCUUCAUCUACAUAGGCCGUCUGGAAUGCCAUGAGGCCGGGAUUGGUGUAGGAAAUCUUCAAAGCUAUUAUAUUGGUCUCAAGAAACUUGCAAUACAUCAAUGCAUUUUUAUUUUUAUUUUUUUGCUGACACCACAGCUACCACCUCUUCACUAAAUGACAAAGGUUGCCAGCAACUGCACAUGGAAAGACUGAAUGUUAUAUUCUGUCUACUAAUCAAUAAGGAGGGAGAUCAAAUUACUGCUCACAAAUAUUCACCUGAUUGAUUUUGAAAAGAGGGUUAAAAAUGGUGUUAUGAAUGAAGAUGGAUGGGGGUGAGGGCUGGGAGAAAGAUGUUGUAUUGCAAGAAGAAGUUGGUUAAGAAGACUGAUGAUUAUGAGAAUGAAGGACACGAACUUUUGAAUUAGACCAAUUGUUUGAUCGAUCAUUUUUGUUCUCUUGAAAACGAUGUAUGGUCAAUUUUAGUAUUCUGAUGUGAUUGAAGAAUAUAGGAGGGACAAAGAGAUGUGCUAUUGGCAGGACAAUUAUGACUCUCUAUUCAGGUAUUCAGCUAUGAUUCUCCAUGGUCGUGCUUCUCCUGUUCACCUGGAAGUUUAUUGAUGGGAGGGAAGCCACUUCUGCUUUGAUGAUUUCUUGGAAGUUCAGCUAGGUGAAUUUACAAUCAGUAUAUACAAGUCAGGUUGUUUGCGAGAGAAUUUCAUUCCCUAGAAUCAUUGUCAUUGUUGUUGCCUACAAGGUACUUGAAGAAAAUGCCCGAGACAUAUUUUAAGAAGUAUAAUUCAGCACUAAGGCUAUUAUUACAACGAUGGAAUCUUUGUUGUGGUAGUUAUGCCUCCAAAUGCGUCGAUCCAUAUCGGCUUACUGAAGUAAACUUUUUUUUUGUCGAUUUCUAUUGGCUUACUGACAGCUUAUUUAUUCUUUUCGAAUUUUAAUUCCUUGAUCUUUGCCUCUGCCCAUCUCCAUAUCACACAGAAGGUGCUCAGUGCAAUGCAUCAUGCAGUGAUUCCAUGAUAGCUAGGAAUUAGGAACUGCCCAU